RNAcentral lists this ribosomal RNA (859 nucleotides) under Corythalia sp. Puerto Lopez. RNAcentral's name for it is "eukaryotic LSU rRNA". It matches the Rfam family "Eukaryotic large subunit ribosomal RNA", at positions 87 to 703 of the family's 3401-position model. The record is from RNAcentral. Lineage: Eukaryota; Metazoa; Arthropoda; Arachnida; Araneae; Salticidae.
CGGCGAGCGAAAAGGGAAGAGCCCAGCGCCGAAUCCCCGGCCUCCGGUCGCGGGAAAUGUGGCGUUCAGGAGUGAGCGUGUCGGUUCCGGAACCCGCGGCAAGUCCCCCUGACCGGGGCCUGUCCGUAGCGGGUGCGAGRCCCAUAGCCGCGGGGUCCGGUCCGAAUGCGAUCUCCUUGGAGUCGGGUUGCUUGGGAGUGCAGCCCCAAUCGGGUGGUAAACUCCACCUAAGGCUAAAUACCGCCGUGAGACCGAUAGCAAACAAGUACCGUGAGGGAAAGUUGCAAAGAACUUUGAAGAGAGAGUUCAAGAGUACGUGAAACUGCUCARAGGUAAACGGGUGGGCCCUCGAAAUCCUGUGGCGAGAGGAUUCAGUCUGUUGCGGACGACGCCGGGGAGGAAGUCAUUUGKAGGGYCUCCGCGUCACGCGGGCCGUCUUCCYYGGCGCCCUCGGCCGCCUCAGACGCAUUUGUCUCUCGUCCCGAGGACGCUGCAGCCGGUUCGGAAGUGCAAGCGCGACGGCCUGAGGGCCGGGAGCCGGCAGGUGGCCGGUGGCUCGCCUCKUGCGGGUCGCCGGUUGUUAGCCAUCCCGGCAGUGGCCCGUCUCCGGACCGUGGUGUCGCGAGUCCCCUUWCGGGGAUUCUUCGUCUCCUACCCUAGSUGGACAGGACCCGGAAAGGGCGCGCGGCGUAGGACGUUUCGCACUCCGUCGGAGUGGUCGAACGCGCUGCGUGCCCUGCCCGCCGGGGCGGAUCUGCGGUGGGACUGGAGGCUAGCARCGAGUAGGUCGGUCACCCACCCGACCCGUCUUGAAACACGGACCAAGGAGUCUAACAUGUGCGCGAGUCAGUGGGUCUUG